Molecule: long non-coding RNA, 767 nt
Filed under: Marmota monax (woodchuck)
Lineage: Eukaryota; Metazoa; Chordata; Mammalia; Rodentia; Sciuridae
Source: RNAcentral
AAACUUUUCUGUUACCACGGAAAAUCUACUGGACGUGCUGACAGGACCACCCUCCCUGUCCCCGCCCCCCCCAGCCCCACUGCCAGAGUUGAGGGCCUGUGGGUAGAGGGUCACCGCUCACCGCCUCCAUCACUGCCAGCUUCUUCCCUGGCUGCACACCACCUGUACUGGGACUUAAUGGUUGUUUUUAGGUUGAGUCACUUUUUAAGCUUAAAUACUUAGAUAUGCCUUGUGCAUGUGCACGUACACACACACACACACACACACACACGCUGUGAGGGUCCAUCUCUCUCUCUUCUUGCUUGCUUUAAAAAAUAUCUUAAGAUCAUUUUUAUUGGUGCAUUACAAUUGUACCUAAAUAGUGAGUUUCACUGUUACAUAUUCACACAUGCGUGUGGCAUAAUUGGGUCAAUUUCAUUCUCCCAUCCUUCCCCUGCCCCCCAUUCCUCCCUACCCCUGGACCUUCCCCUACUCCACUGGUCUCCCUUCCAUUUUAAUGAGGUCCUGCCUGCUUUCCGCCCAUUUUCCCCUCUGGCUUUCUCUUACGAAGGAAAAUAUAAGACCUUUUACUUUCUGAGUCUGGCUUAUUUUGUUUAACAUAAUGCUCUCAAGUUCCAUCCAUUGUCUGGUAAAUGACAUGAUUUUGUUCUUCUUUAUGGCUAAGUAAAACUCCGCUGUGUAUCUAUACCACAUUUUUUGACCCAUUCUUCCGAGGAUACUUAAGCGGAUUCCACAGUUUGGCUGUUGUGAACUGUGCCACUAUAAAC